UGAGGAAUAUUGGUCAAUGGGCGCAAGCCUGAACCAGCCAUCCCGCGUGAAGGAUGACAGCCCUAUGGGUUGUAAACUUCUUUUCUACACCAAGAAACUAUCCCUCGUGAGGGACAUUGACGGUAGUGUAGGAAUAAGCACCGGCUAACUCCGUGCCAGCAGCCGCGGUAAAUACGGAGGGUGCAAGCGUUAUCCGGAUUUAUUGGGUUUAAAGGGUGCGUAGGCGGACCUGUAAGUCAGUGGUGAAAUCCUGCAGCUUAACUGUAGAACUGCCAUUGAUACUGUUGGUCUUGAGUACAGUUGAGGUAGGCGGAAUGAGUAGUGUAGCGGUGAAAUGCUUAGAUAUUACU
Molecule: ribosomal RNA, 350 nt
Filed under: uncultured bacterium
Lineage: Bacteria
Description: bacterial SSU rRNA
Rfam family: Bacterial small subunit ribosomal RNA
Source: RNAcentral